AUUGAACGCUGGCGGCAUGCCUAAUACAUGCAAGUCGAACGAACAGACGAGUACCUUGCCCUGUUGACGUUAGCGGCAGACGUGUGAGUUACACGGGGAUAACCUACCUAGAGGACGAUAGUAACUCCGGGGCAGGGUUACUAAUGCCUAAGAACAUCGAAUACCACCGGGUUCCCUUCUGACCUCGCGCUUUACUGUCACUUAUUGGUUGAUCCGCUCCGUAUUAGCUAGUUGGUAAGGUAACGGCUUACCAAGGCAACGAUCAGUAGCCGACCUGAGAGGGUGAUCGGCCACACUGGAACUGAGACACGGUCCAGACUCCUACGGGAGGCAGCAGUAGGGAAUUUUGCGCAAUGGGCGAAAGCCUGACGGAGCAACGCCGCGUGAGUGAUGAAGGCCUUCGGAUCGUAAAACUCUGUUAUCAGGGAAGAAAAACUGGGUAAGUAACUAGGCACGUCUUGACGGUACCUAAUGAGAAAGCCACGGCUAACUACGUG
This 497-nucleotide ribosomal RNA is filed under the name uncultured bacterium. RNAcentral's name for it is "partial 16S ribosomal RNA". It matches the Rfam family "Bacterial small subunit ribosomal RNA", at positions 30 to 507 of the family's 1533-position model. The record is from RNAcentral.